UUUAAUUUAGCAUAAAUUAGUGUGUUCGUUUUAAGUGCGAGAGGUUAAAUUAAAA
Molecule: transfer RNA, 55 nt
Filed under: Aphelenchus avenae
Lineage: Eukaryota; Metazoa; Nematoda; Chromadorea; Rhabditida; Aphelenchidae
Description: tRNA-Leu
Source: RNAcentral